RNAcentral lists this ribosomal RNA (468 nucleotides) under uncultured bacterium. Its description in RNAcentral is "partial 16S ribosomal RNA". It matches the Rfam family "Bacterial small subunit ribosomal RNA", at positions 28 to 507 of the family's 1533-position model. The record is from RNAcentral.
GACGAACGCUGGCGGCGUGCUUAACACAUGCAAGUCGAACGGAAAGGCCCUGCUUUUGUGGGGUGCUCGAGUGGCGAACGGGUGAGUAACACGUGAGUAACCUGCCCUUGACUUUGGGAUAACUUCGGGAAACUGGGGCUAAUACCGGAUAGGAGCUCCUGCUGCAUGGUGGGGGUUGGAAAGUUUCCGCGGUUGGGGAUGGACUCGCGGCUUAUCAGCUUGUUGGUGGGGUAGUGGCUUACCAAGGCUUUGACGGGUAGCCGGCCUGAGAGGGUGACCGGCCACAUUGGGACUGAGAUACGGCCCAGACUCCUACGGGAGGCAGCAGUGGGGAAUAUUGCACAAUGGGCGGAAGCCUGAUGCAGCAACGCCGCGUGCGGGAUGGCGGCCUUCGGGUUGUAAACCGCUUUCGCCUGUGACGAAGCGUGAGUGACGGUAAUGGGUAAAGAAGCACCGGCUAACUACGUG